RNAcentral lists this small RNA (246 nucleotides) under Cryptococcus neoformans H99. RNAcentral describes it as "Cryptococcus neoformans var. grubii H99 hypothetical RNA". Lineage: Eukaryota; Fungi; Basidiomycota; Tremellomycetes; Tremellales; Cryptococcaceae. The record is from RNAcentral.
UUUAGCAGCGUGCCGAUCGGGACACCACCUCCACCAGCAGGCAUAGCAUUGCAACGAAAAUCAUCAUCAUGAUUUUUUUUUUUUUUGCCAUGGCUUCUUCUGCAGCCGCAGCGGCGUGGCUUCCACGUGCGCAUUUCAGUUCCCCGCCGCCAUAAGAAACCCAACACCAGCAGCUCUCUCUGCCCAUUAUUCAAUCUGCAGUUUAUCAUAGCCAAGAGUAUAUGAAUGCUACAACAGUCGAUGAUG